This 1399-nucleotide ribosomal RNA is filed under the name uncultured Anaerolinea sp. RNAcentral's name for it is "partial 16S ribosomal RNA". It matches the Rfam family "Bacterial small subunit ribosomal RNA", at positions 67 to 1210 of the family's 1533-position model. The record is from RNAcentral. Lineage: Bacteria; Bacillati; Chloroflexota; Anaerolineae; Anaerolineales; Anaerolineaceae.
CUACCAUGCAGUCGACGGACCCUUCGGUGGUUAGUGGCGCACGNUUUGAGUAACACGUGGUUGACCUACCCCAAAGUAAGGGAUAACGGUCCGAAAGGACUGCUAAUACCUUAUAAGCUCCCGGUGUUUAGAAAACUGGGAGAAAAGUUCCGGCGCUUUGGGCGGGGACUGCGGACCAUCAGCUAGUUGGUGUGGUAACGGCACACCAAGGCGACGACGGAUAGGGGACCUGAGAGGGUGGCCCCCCACACUGGAACUGAGACACGGUCCAGACUCCUACGGGAGGCAGCAGUGAGGAAUAUUGCACAAUGGGCGCAAGCCUGAUGCAGCGACGCCGCGUGGGUGAUGAAGGUUUUCGGAUCGUAAAGCCCUUUUCUAGAUGACGAGUAAGGACGGUAGUCUAGGAAUAAGUGUCGGCUAACUACGUGCCAGCAGCCGCGGUAAAACGUAGGACACAAGCGUUAUCCGGAGUUACUGGGCGUAAGGGGCGUGUANGCGGACCUGUAAGUCUAUUCUGAAAGCUCCUGGCUNAACUGGGAAAGGCGAAUGGAGACUGCANAUCUAGAGUGAGGAAGANGAAAGUGGAAUUCCNCGUGUAGUGGUGAAUGCGUGNAAAUGCGGAGGAACACCAGUGGCGAAGCGACUUUCUGGUCCUUAACUGACCUGAAGCGCGAANCAUGGGGNACGAACGGGAUAAAACCCNGUUAUCNUGCCAUAACAAUGUCCUAANNUCGUUCCCNCAGGGANCGGNNUNAACCACCAUANUAACCCCGGGGNUCGUCCAGNUAACUCAAGAUUGNGGGACCCACCCCGACGNGUUUUCANUCCAAANCUUCUGUUUNUCGUAAUCCNAAUGGUNCCCAAGAACANGGNCUGUUCCCNCGNGGGUUUUANCNAAGCNCUGGCUAAUUGGCCNNGANGAGGNACNNUNUUCGCCCCUNGNAGGNCUGAGGCGCGAAAGCAUGGGGAGCGAACGGGAUUAGAAACCCCGGUAGUCCAUGCCAUAAACGAUGUUCACUAAACGUUCGUUUCCCGCGAGGGAAGCGGGUGUUGAAGCCAACGCAGUAAGUGAACCGCCUGGGGAGUACGGUCGCAAGGCUAAAACUCAAAGGAAUUGACGGGGGACCGCACAAGCAGCGGAGCGUGUGGUUUAAUUCGAGGCUACACGAAGAACCUUACCUGGGUUUGACAUCGUGUUGAAGUGCCCAUGAAAGUGGGUAUGCCUCGCAAGAGGCAAUACGACAGGUGCUGCAUGGCUGUCGUCAGCUCGUGCCGUGAGGUGUUCGGUUAAGUCCGCAAACGAGCGCAACCCUCGGUGCCAGUUACAAGCGUCUGGCGCGACUGCCCGUGGCAACGGANGAANGUGGGGAUGACGUCAAGUCACAUGGCNUUUUNUCCG